AGCAAGUCGAACGCCCCCGCAAGGGGAGUGGCAGACGGGUGAGUAACGCGUGGGAACCUACCUAGAGGUGCGGAAUAGCCCAGGGAAACUUGGAGUAAUACCGCAUAAGCCCGCAAGGGGAAAGAUUUAUCGCCUUUAGAUGGGCCCGCGUCUGAUUAGCUAGUUGGUGAGGUAAUGGCUCACCAAGGCGACGAUCAGUAGCUGGUUUGAGAGAAUGACCAGCCACACUGGGACUGAGACACGGCCCAGACUCCUACGGGAGGCAGCAGUGGGGAAUCUUGGACAAUGGGGGCAACCCUGAUCCAGCCAUGCCGCGUGAGUGACGAAGGCCUUAGGGUUGUAAAGCUCUUUUGGCGGGGACGAUAAUGACGGUACCCGCAGAAUAAGUCCCGGCUAACUUCGUGCCAGCAGCCGCGGUAAUACGAAGGGGACUAGCGUUGUUCGGAAUUACUGGGCGUAAAGCGCACGUAGGCGGAUUUGUUAGUCAGGGGUGAAAUCCCGGGGCUCAACCUCGGAACUGCCUUUGAUACUGCAAGUCUUGAGUCCGGAAGAGGUGAGUGGAAUUCCUAGUGUAGAGGUGAAAUUCGUAGAUAUUASGAAGAACACCAGUGGCGAAGGCGGCUCACUGGUCCGGUACUGACGCUGAGGUGCGAAAGCGUGGGGAGCAAAACAGGAUUAGAUACCCUGGUAGUCCACGCCGUAAAACGAUGGAUGCUAGMCCGUCGGCAAGCUUGCUUGUCGGUGGCGCAGCUAACGCAUUAAGCAUCCCGCCUGUGGAGUACGGYCGCAAGGUUAAAACUCAAAGGAAUUGACGGGGGSCCCGCACARGCGGUGGGAGCAUGUGGUUUAA
Molecule: ribosomal RNA, 850 nt
Filed under: uncultured Rhizobium sp.
Lineage: Bacteria; Pseudomonadati; Pseudomonadota; Alphaproteobacteria; Hyphomicrobiales; Rhizobiaceae
Description: bacterial SSU rRNA
Rfam family: Bacterial small subunit ribosomal RNA
Source: RNAcentral